CCUACGGGAGGCAGCAGUGAGGAAUAUUGGUCAAUGGGCGCAAGCCUGAACCAGCCAAGUCGCGUGUGGGAAGACGGCCCUACGGGUUGUAAACCUCUUUUGCCGGGGCGCAAGCCUGAGCACGUGUGCACAGGCGGAGAGUACCCGGAGAAAGAGCAUGGGCUAACUCCGUCCCUGCAGCCGCGGUAAUAAGGAGGAUGCGAGCGUUAUCCGGAUUUAUUGGGUUUAAGGGGGGCGCGGGCGGGCGGUUGAGCAGGCGGUAAAAAUUAAGGGCUAAACCCAGUCGCGCCGACGGAACUGGCAGCCUUGAGUGGGCGAGAGGUAUGCGGAAUGCGAGGUGUAGCGGUGAAAUGCAUAGAUAUCACGCAGAACGCCGAUUGCGAAGGCAGCAUACCGGCGCCCGACUGACGCUGAGGCACGAAAGCGUGGGGAUCGAACAGGAUUAGAUACCCUUGUAGUC
This 460-nucleotide ribosomal RNA is filed under the name uncultured bacterium. Its description in RNAcentral is "partial 16S ribosomal RNA". It matches the Rfam family "Bacterial small subunit ribosomal RNA", at positions 338 to 795 of the family's 1533-position model. The record is from RNAcentral.